Molecule: small nuclear RNA, 107 nt
Organism: Onychomys torridus (southern grasshopper mouse)
Lineage: Eukaryota; Metazoa; Chordata; Mammalia; Rodentia; Cricetidae
Source: RefSeq, a predicted model, not a curated record
GUGCUCCCUUCGGCAGCAUAUAUACUAAAAUUGUAAUGAUGCAGAGGUGAUUGGCACGGCCUCUGUGCAAGGAUGACAUGCAAAUUUGUGAAGAAUUCCAUAUUUUA